RNAcentral lists this ribosomal RNA (215 nucleotides) under uncultured bacterium. RNAcentral describes it as "partial 16S ribosomal RNA". It matches the Rfam family "Bacterial small subunit ribosomal RNA", at positions 118 to 351 of the family's 1533-position model. The record is from RNAcentral.
UGGGAACGUGCCCAUCGGUUCGGGAUAACCCAGGGAAACUUGGGCUAAUACCGGAUACGUGCAAGAGCAGAAAGAUUUAUCGCCUAGGGAUGAGCCCGCGUAGGAUUAGCUAGUUGGUGGGUAAAAGCCUACCAAGGCGACGAUCCUUAGCUGGUCUGAGAGGAUGAUCAGCCACACUGGGACUGAGACACGGCCCAGACUCCUACGGGAGGCAG